GGAACUCUCAGCCAGUUCCAAAUGUUGCUAGAAAUAGAGCCCUGCUGGAUCUAUAUAUGGAGCUUCUCUGCCUUGAGGACCAAUUAGACUCAAAAGCACUUCAGUGGACAGAUUUAACCAAGAAACAGCUAACGGCAUCUGGAGCCCAAAAGAUCAGAAGACAUUUGUCCAAGUCAGAGAAGACUUCAAAAUGAAGAUAGUCUUGCUGCUAGUUGUACUAAGCAUCUGUGACUUAUUUGAGGUUCAAGGGGACGCAGGACAAUUCUUAAGGAUGAUAAGAAAAAUCACGGGAAAGAGGUUAUUUUAUCCUUAUGGCUUCACUAAAUGCCAAUGUAAAGAUCAAGAUAAAAGAACUACUGACAGGACAGAAGGAGAGCACUCAGUGGGUUCCUCCAUUUAGGUGCUGUUCUGCCCAUGACUGCUGCUAUUUAAAGCUGAAGAAGAAAGGCUGCAAACCCAAAAGAUUGAAAUACCAUUAUGUAAUCCAAGCUCAAUCCGUCCUCUGUGGGAAUGGGAACAAAUGUCAGAAGAAAGUCUGUGCCUGUGAUAAAGCAGCUGCCUACUGUAUGAAGAAAAAUGUGAAAAAUUACCAGGCUAUUUAAGGUGGGAAAUCUCCAAAGCUUUCCUCCUUCCUCAACAACAAUCGACAAUAAGUAGCCUCAGAGCUCCAACUUGAGAGCCAUCACUGCCCAAUCCUUUUCGGAAUGGUGUUGCUUUGCCAUCAGGACUUGCCAUUCACACUAAUUAAUGCAAUCAGUCAACAAAUCUUUAUUAAUUGCUUACUCUGAGCUAGUCAUUCUAAUAUAAAUUACCAACCUCAAUUCCAGAGUUCUGAUGGUAAAAUGUAUCUUCCUUCUCUCAGGAGAGAACUGAAAAAGGAGGGAUGUGGAAUCCAUACCUGUAGAAUGAUGCUGCUGGGACUUUUGAUUUGGUUUCUUUUACUGUUCCUUAUUGUUAUGAGGAGGGAAAUGAUUAUUAGGAAGUGACACUGAUACAGGAAAAAAAAUAUCAAUAAAAGAUU
Sarcophilus harrisii (Tasmanian devil) is the source of this 1021-nucleotide RNA transcript. It is a transcript of the gene named phospholipase A2, membrane associated-like, with no coding region annotated. The record is from RefSeq and is a predicted model, not a curated record. Lineage: Eukaryota; Metazoa; Chordata; Mammalia; Dasyuromorphia; Dasyuridae. The transcript has 5 exons.